This 4124-nucleotide long non-coding RNA is filed under the name Solanum tuberosum (potato). RNAcentral describes it as "long non-coding RNA (STUB_LNC007922)". Lineage: Eukaryota; Viridiplantae; Streptophyta; Magnoliopsida; Solanales; Solanaceae. The record is from RNAcentral.
ACACAUCUCUCCCUCUGAAUUCGCAAGCAAUGCCAAACUUCUUUAGUGCUGUCGCAUUCUUGCACAAACAUUUGAUCAAUGGAUGUACACACUUAUUUUCACUUGGUUUUCCAUAAAAGUUAAUGAACUUGAAGGUCUUUAGAUGUGGCAAUGAACAGUUAAAACUAUGUGUUUCAAAUCUCCUCCGUCGUUCAUCCUCAUUUGUGUACUUUGACAGCAAUUUCUGCAGGAAAAAAUCCGAUAUAUUAACCAGUUAUUCUCACCUAAGUAGAAAGCAAAGGAGUUGAUUGCAGACAUAUUAAAAAGGUGAUAAAUUUUGCCAAAUCCCCUUUUUGGAAGAGGAUAAGCUGUCAAAAGCCCCUCUUUGUAACCUUUUAUCAUUGUCUAUGAAACAUAACAGUUUAAUGAUUUUUUUUUCCCUGAAGCACUAAACAUAUAUCAUCUUUCACUAAUAGUUUUAUAUAAAUUACAUUAAGUAACAAAAAUAAAGGUCUAAAAGAAACUUACUCUUGGUUUAGGAUGGCGCCAGUCAAUGACCAAUGUCUCAAGACCUGAUGAACUCGAUAGAAAGCUGCAAAUUCCAGGAUAGUCGUACUGUUCUAAGGCUGAGUUAAGUUUUAAGAAUCUCCAGCUUGAUAGUGGAACAGGCCACCCUUUAAACUCCAGUAUGGACAGGCACUUAUGAACCAAAUAGAUAAACCAAAAUACAUCAAAAACUAGGAAAUGCAACAUACUUAGUAAAUGACAUGAAAAUUGUUCAAUAAUUCGAAAAAACAACUUCAACUAUAGGACUGUUUUGCCAUAAGGCACAAGCCACAUCAAAGUAUUCAAGGUUGGCUUGGAAAUCUACGGAUUGAUUUUUAAACACUUGGAGAAAACCCACAGAGGUAAGGGUAAGGUUUGCAUACGCCACAGCCCCUCCCUAGACCACAAGUAGAGGGAUUACACUAAGUAUGUUAAUGUUUGGAAAAACACAUUCGCAUGACUUUGUUUGAUAAAAGUGGUGUUCGGGCCAGCUUGCGUGCACCUCAAUUAAUUCCACAGGAGACUUGCAAAUUGCCACUUCCUACCCACAACACGUACUAGGUAACUUUGUCAACCAAGGCUACAACAGAGGAGAAGAAUCACUUAAUGUUUUUCUCUCUUGAGAACUGAACGUCACAGUGCUCAACCGACUUCAUUGACCACUAGGCCACACCCAUCACAUGACUUAAUAAGUAUGAUCACUGCAAACCAAUCCAAAUUUUAAAUGUUAUCUAUCCUAUAGUAAACUCUUUAUUCUCACAAUUUCCGUCAUAAAUAGAGUAAUUUUUUUGUUCAAUAGGCCAUGAGGAUGUUAUUCUUUAGUACUUACAAACAUAGUUAUAAUAUUAUCCUAAGUAGUGAUAUUGUUAAUGUUACUAAACUGAUGAAUUCAAUAGCAAAGAACAAGUCUGCGAAAUGAAAAAACAAAAUCUACCCUCCUUCUCCAAAUCCUCUUCAAGGUCGAUGUAAAAACAAAACAUACCUCGAUGCACCAGGGACCCAAUUCAAGAUUCUUGACAUUGGCAACGUGGUGAAGAAGUUCCUGCAAAUAUCUACACUCUUUCUCCAAAUUCUCUUCAAGGUCGACGAAAUGAACAUUUAAAGAAAGGACUGCAGUGACAAGUGAAGCCACAUCUCUCAGCUGAAAGUGUAUCUCAUCGCAACACAAUCCCCGAAGUUCUAAAUGUCGAAUAUGUGGGGCAUGAAUUUCGAGGCAAUAGUCUUGAUCAUCAACACCACAUUCUCUAUCAUAAAUCGUUACAAUCAAUUUUCUCAGCUUCACAGAGCUGAUUUCCAGACGAUGAAUACCAAUAACUUUAUCUAACUCCAAGCACUCCAAAUUAGGACAACCUGAUAAUAUUUUUUCCAUUACACCCUCUGUCAUACCCGCAUCCGCAAUCGAAAGAGAAACCAAAUUACUCCAUUUCACAUUACCAGAAGGUCUCAACCGGCAACAUCCUAACACCAAAUUCCUCAAAACCGUAUUCGUAUACGCGAAUUCAGGAAAUUUAUACGCAAAAUCUACAGACUCAAAAAUAUAAAAUUUCAACGUAAACUCUUCAACCUUACCAAUAUUAACAGCAAAGUGCACCCACAAAUCAACAUCAUGUUCAAUAAACUCGUAACUAUGAGGAAAAACCCUAAAUGAUUUAAUUUUCUCGCAAGACCUCCAAUAAUGAAGCUCUCUAUUAACAGAAGCUGCGUAAGCGAUAAUAUUUUCUUCUUCGUCAGAGUUAAGAUCAUCUUCUGAGUUGAAAUAGAGAGAUGCCGGAACGGAUUUCCAAAGAAAUCGCCAUUGCGAUGAUAAUACGCUGGUUCGAACAACUUGUUUACUGUUUGGUAACAUAGAGAGGAUGUGGAGUAGAAUUUCCUCCGGCAGAUCAGUCAGCCGGUCUCUUCCUCCGGCCGCCGCCAUGAUUUUCUUGUGCCUUUAUGAAUUCUCAAUUGUAGUUUUGUAAUGGCGAAUUGAAAUGAGAGUAAUGGCGGUUUAUCCAACUACGAUUUCUGUGCACAAAACUAUGUAAAAAAUAGGAUUGAAACGAGAGAGAAAAAAAUUAAAAAGAGAAGAAAAAUGUCCUAAAUAAGAAGCAAACUGUGGUGUUCCGGUUAGCUUUUAGGCAUCUUUAACUAAAUUCGUGGAAUACAUGUAGCCUUUACUAGCAAUUCUAGAAUAGAUGGAAAGAAUUAUCUAAUGUUUUUUGUCUUUCGUGAUUCAUUCGUAAAUUAAUUUUGAUUCUCUAUUAACUUUUUUUCUAUUUUAGCCUACCUUUCUUUUUAUCAUUUUCGAAAAAGUUGAUAAACUUGGCAAGUAUGCAAAAAAUAUUCCCCCUUAUCACAACAAGGCUCGAAGAAAAGAAUUAACCAUGGUCUUAUUUACCAAGCUCGGGACUAGAGGAGCAUUUUAGGAAUUUGAGGUAUUGGAUGUAAUGUAAUAAGGAUGAAGUCUUAUUUAUAUAGUAAUGUCCCGAAGUUUUGAAUAUGAAACAUUAGGGUUUUCAACCACUUCAUUGCGGUUGAUUGGUAUAAUUAAGUGAAAAGAGACAAAUAUAAUCCUCAAUUUUGCAAUUAAGAGCAUAUCUCUCGUUAUAAAAAUUAUUCAAAUAACGAGUUUAUUUGAAUAACGUGACGAAUAAAAAUUGACCUACUUUGAUUGACAUGAACAAUAUUCAAUCAAUCAUUAUAAGCCGUAUCAAAAGCAUCAUGAUUUGAUAAAAUUUGAAUCAUUUUCUAAUUCAAAAUUUAAAUCCUUGGCCUGACUCAAACUUAUUCAACAAUAUAGGAACUCAAUUGUCUCAAAAUAAAGGUCUAUUUUUCUCUUUUUUUAAUCUUUUCCUCCCCUUCCUCCAUUAAAUCGGGCACACAAUUUCAAUUGGACCAACCACACAAGCACUUUAGCCCUCAUAGUAUACCAGUUAUCACAAUAUAGUAAUCAACAGUUAGCCCAUGUCUUAAUUCUAUAACAUCUUGACAAUGCAUGAUUUUCUUCAAGUGGCAGGUCCUCAAUUUUCCUAAAAAUAAAAUAACACAUGUCGAAAGAAGCAAGCCCAUUGAGUCGUAAUGAAUCAAGAAAUACAAUUUCUGCAAAAUGACAUUCAACCUUAGAUCAAGCUUUCUUACAUGAUUAUCAAAGGAAAAAUACAUUGUGCUUAGACAUGAAAAAUCUGCAAUCAACUAUUUUGUAUUGGAUACUGAUAACUAGAAUCCAAACCUCGACUAUCAACUGUAAACCAGUUUCAAACCAAAAGUAAAAGGUUGUUAUGUAUGUCGCCAUCACAACAAAAGAGAAUGGCGUAAGAUUAUCAACAAGGAAAGACAACUGAAGCUUGCGAACAGGAUCUUGGAAAAGCUUAGGACCUCCUGACGACAUAAUUCCAAAACACAUCUCUCCUUCUGAAAUUGCAAGCAAUGACAGUCUUCUUUAGUGCUGUCGCAUUCUUGCACAAACAUUUGAUCAAUGGGUGUACAAACUUUUUUUCACUUGGUUUUCCAUAAAAGUUAAUGAACUUGAAGAACUUUAGAUGUGGCAAUGAACAGUUAGAACUAUGUGUUUCAAAUCUCCUCCGUCGUUCAUCCUCAUUUGUGUACAUUGACAGCAAUUU